GGAGGGCAAGUCUGGUGCCAGCAGCCGCGGUAAUUCCAGCUCCAAUAGCGUAUAUUAAAGUUGUUGCAGUUAAAAAGCUCGUAGUUGGAUUUCUGUUAAUAAUUUAUAUAAAAUAUUUUGAUGAAUAUUUAUAUAAUAUUAACAUAAUUCAUAUUACUAUUUUUUUUAGUAUAUGAAAUUUUACUUUGAGAAAAUUAGAGUGCUUAAAGCAGGCAUAUGCCUUGAAUACUCCAGCAUGGAAUAAUAUUAAAGAUUUUUAUCUUUCUUAUUGGUUCUAAGAUAAGAAUAAUGAUUAAUAGGGACAGUUGGGGGCAUUUGUAUUUAACAGUCAGAGGUGAAAUUCCUAGAUUUGUUAAAGACAAACUAAUGCGAAAGCAUUUGCCAAGGAUGUUUUCAUUAAUCAAGAACGAAAGUUAGGGGAUCGAAGACGAUCAGAUACCGUCGUAGUCUUAACCAUAAACUAUGCCAACUAGAGAUUGGAGGUUGUUCCUUACUCCUUC
This 500-nucleotide ribosomal RNA is filed under the name Cryptosporidium parvum. RNAcentral's name for it is "SSU rRNA". It matches the Rfam family "Eukaryotic small subunit ribosomal RNA", at positions 550 to 1081 of the family's 1831-position model. The record is from RNAcentral. Lineage: Eukaryota; Apicomplexa; Conoidasida; Eucoccidiorida; Cryptosporidiidae.